Molecule: ribosomal RNA, 472 nt
Filed under: uncultured bacterium
Lineage: Bacteria
Description: partial 16S ribosomal RNA
Rfam family: Bacterial small subunit ribosomal RNA
Source: RNAcentral
AGUGAACGCUGGCGGUAGGCCUAACACAUGCAAGUCGAACGGCAGCACAGUAAGAGCUUGCUCUUACGGGUGGCGAGUGGCGGAUGGGUGAGGCAUACAUCGGAAUCUAUUUUUUCUUGGGGGAUAACGUAGGGAAACUUACGCUACUACCGCAUACGACCUACGGGAGAAAGCAGUGUAUCUUCGGAUUUUGUGGGAUUGGAUGAGCCGAUGUCAGAUCAGCUAGUUGGCGGGGUAAUGGCCUACCAAGGCGACGAAGGGUAGCCGGUCUGAGAGGGUGAACGGCCACACUGGGACUGAGAAACGGCCCAGACUACUACGGGAGGCAGCAGUGGGGAAUAUUGCACAACGGGCGGAAGCCUGAUGCAGAGACGCCGCGUGAGGGAUGACGGCUUUCGGGUUGUAAACCUCUUUCAGCACGGAAGAAGCGAGAGUGACGGUACGUGCAGAAGAAGCGCCGGCUAACUACGUG